RNAcentral lists this transfer RNA (73 nucleotides) under Myotis davidii. It matches the Rfam family "tRNA". Rfam says of the family: Transfer RNA (tRNA) molecules are approximately 80 nucleotides in length. Their secondary structure includes four short double-helical elements and three loops (D, anti-codon, and T loops). Further hydrogen bonds mediate the characteristic L-shaped molecular structure. tRNAs have two regions of fundamental functional importance: the anti-codon, which is responsible for specific mRNA codon recognition, and the 3' end, to which the tRNAs corresponding amino acid is attached (by aminoacyl-tRNA synthetases). tRNAs cope with the degeneracy of the genetic code in two manners: having more than one tRNA (with a specific anti-codon) for a particular amino acid; and 'wobble' base-pairing, i.e. permitting non-standard base-pairing at the 3rd anti-codon position. The record is from Rfam by way of RNAcentral. Lineage: Eukaryota; Metazoa; Chordata; Mammalia; Chiroptera; Vespertilionidae.
ACCUGUUUGGCUCAGUGGAUAGAGCGUCGGCCUGUGGACUGAAAGGUCCCAGGUUCGAUUCCUGAAAUAAAUA